This 442-nucleotide long non-coding RNA is filed under the name Linum usitatissimum (flax). RNAcentral's name for it is "long non-coding RNA (LUSI_LNC001573)". Lineage: Eukaryota; Viridiplantae; Streptophyta; Magnoliopsida; Malpighiales; Linaceae. The record is from RNAcentral.
AUUUUGAAAUAGCUAUUCGCAACAUUGCUACGUAUUAUAUUGUGAGUAACUAGUUAUUUCCAAAAAAAAUCCCCGUCGAAUCUAGAAAUGGGCCACCAAAAGAAAGUAUGAUAAAGAAAGACCAAACGAUGUGUUUUCACGUGGGUGGACGUGGACACAUUGAUGACAACCAUGAAAACACUGGUUCCAUGUUCCUUCAGGCUUUAGAGAUAUUUUCUUUCUAAAAAAAUCCUUAACAAAAUAAUCCUUACUACUAAUGCAAUCUCUCUAAAUUAAUGUUACUUAGUGAAAUAUUAAAUAUAAACAAAAAGAAUAAUGACGCGUUUGAAGAAGUUUGAAGCUAAGCUAAAUUUACCUGACUGAUAUGCACGACGGAGAUGUUGUAAGGCAUCUCGACGACCGACUUAACGAAAAGAGCGUCCAUCUUGCCGUCAUUCUCCUC